CUCCCGACUGCCCAGGAGCCCGCGGGAAGGUGUUUCUGAGCUCGUUCACGAGGCACUGGCGUUCCGAGUGACUCGGCGUCGCGCACCGGGGGUACGGUGUGAAUUCACAGCGGGCAGAGAGAUGGACACAGGGUGUCACUGUCACAGGGCGGUCAUGGGUCUCCUGCACCAUCCACUUCCUCUCUGCCGUGCUGUGGGCGGGUGGGACCCACACAGCUUCGGUCCGAAGCCAGGGAGAGCGGUGGAAGACUGAACCCGUCAUGUUCGGGUUGUUGUGUAGUCUGCGUAGUGGCCCCCGCGCUGGUGCUGGCGUCCCUUGAGCCCGCGGCUGUGCCUGUUUUCUGCGUAUCCGGGGAUUGACC
Molecule: long non-coding RNA, 362 nt
Organism: Heterocephalus glaber (naked mole-rat)
Lineage: Eukaryota; Metazoa; Chordata; Mammalia; Rodentia; Bathyergidae
Source: Ensembl